This 1110-nucleotide long non-coding RNA is filed under the name Homo sapiens (human). RNAcentral's name for it is "HSALNT0264458". The record is from RNAcentral. Lineage: Eukaryota; Metazoa; Chordata; Mammalia; Primates; Hominidae.
UAAUGUGGAGUCUAUCACUGCUAUGUGACCACAAAUGUAGUGGCUUAAAAGAAAACAAAUGUAUUAUCUUACAGUUCUGAGGUCAGAAUUUCUAAAAUCAAGGCACUGGUGAGGUUACACAUCUUUUAGGGGCUUAGAGAAUCCCUUUCCUUGCCUUUUCCAGAGUCUAGGAGCCACCUGCAUUCUUUGGCGUGUAGCUUCUCCAUUCUCAACUCCACCCCUCCCCGCACCAUCUCUGACCUCUGCAUCUGUGAUCACAUCUCCUUUUUCUGAUUCUGACCCUCUUGCCUCCCUCUUAGAAGGACUCUUGUGACCAUUUUGGGCCAACCGAGGUAAUCCAAAGUAAUCUUCCUAUUUCAAGAUCCUUAACUUAUUCACAUCUGCAAAAUUCCUUUUGCCAUAUAAAUAGUAACAGGUCCAGGGGAUUAAGACAUAGGCAUCUUUCAGAAACCAUUAUUUUGUUUGCCACAGAAUCUUCAAGCUAAAAAUUACUCAUCAGAGAAGCCCAUGAAAUGGGCUUCCUUUAACAUCCCUGCUGUUCUCACUUGUCUGGGAGCAGCUCAGGGGAGGUGAUGCCCCCACUGAAAACACAAUCAGAAAACUGGGAGGCUGAUUUUCAUGACCACCACAAGAGGUUAGCAGAGGAAACAAAGACAUACUGAGGGUUAAUAACUGACACAAAGGAGAUAAACUUGCCCAAGGUCUCCCAUUUUGUAAAUGGUAGAGUGGAAGUUGACAUCAGAUCUUUCUUUCCAGGGAUGUCAAGCAGAACAGAACCCUUUGGGAAGACAUGUUGAUCAUCUUCCAGCUAGCCUAACAACCCCUGAAGCCUCAGAGCUCUGCAGUUUUCAAGGCAUCUUCAGACAAGAAUCCUCAUGAAGCAUGGCAUUUCAUCACCACUCUAUCCAACUUCCUAGAAUUACCACAGAACUAUCUUUUUGAGGUCCUGAUGACUUUUGGAGCAUCUGAGACAGGAAGGGAAUAUUGGGUUACUACUUCUUGCUAGACCAGCAUAUUAGACCAGCAUAUAACCUUCCACUCUUGUUAUAACUUCUUUUCCCUCCACUUAUUUAUGAUUCUCAUAUUUGACAAUCACUCAUCUCCCUUCCC